AUUUAAGUAGCUUAUAUUAAGAGCACAGUAUUGAAGAUACUGAGGAAGUGUUAAACUCUUAGAUA
This 65-nucleotide transfer RNA is filed under the name Tomicus yunnanensis. RNAcentral describes it as "tRNA-Phe". The record is from RNAcentral. Lineage: Eukaryota; Metazoa; Arthropoda; Insecta; Coleoptera; Curculionidae.